This 402-nucleotide ribosomal RNA is filed under the name uncultured prokaryote. RNAcentral's name for it is "bacterial SSU rRNA". It matches the Rfam family "Bacterial small subunit ribosomal RNA", at positions 356 to 774 of the family's 1533-position model. The record is from RNAcentral.
AGGGAAUAUUGGUUAAUGUGCGAAAGCGCGAACCAGCAACGCCGCGUGUGCGAUGAAGGCCUUCGGGUUGUAAAGCACCUUUAGAGGGAAUGAGGAAGGACAGUACCCUCAGAAUAAGCCUCGGCUAACUACGUGCCAGCAGCCGCGGUAAAACGUAGGAGGCGAGCGUUAUCCGGAUUUACUGGGCGUAAAGCGUGUGUAGGCGGUUUGAUAAGUUGGAUGUGAAAGCUCCUGGCUUAACUGGGAGAGGUCGUUCAAAACUAUCAGACUUGAGAGUGGUAGAGGGAGGUGGAAUUCCGCAUGUAGUGGUGAAAUGCGUAGAUAUGCGGAGGAACACCAGUGGCGAAAGCGGCCUCCUAGCCCAUUUCUGACGCUCAGACACGAAAGCUAAGGUAGCAAACU